GUAUUUUAGUGUAGGAUGCACAAAAGUUUUUGAUACUUUUAGAAAUAGUUUAAUUCUAUUAAAUAUAA
RNAcentral lists this transfer RNA (68 nucleotides) under Miltogramma oestracea. RNAcentral's name for it is "tRNA-Gln". The record is from RNAcentral. Lineage: Eukaryota; Metazoa; Arthropoda; Insecta; Diptera; Sarcophagidae.